GGAGGUGAGGGUGAUCGACUGGGACAUCUGUCACCCCGCCGAUCGCUGGGGUUGACUCGGCUGCUCUGGCUGGCUAGGCGGGGGUCCCCUCCCUCCCUCACCGCUCCCUGUGCGCCUCCCGAAGCUGCACGCUCGGGCGAAGAGGACCUUCCCCGACAGAGGAGAGGACUAUUCUUCCGCCAAAGGUACUUAAAAA
Molecule: small nuclear RNA, 196 nt
Filed under: Myotis davidii
Lineage: Eukaryota; Metazoa; Chordata; Mammalia; Chiroptera; Vespertilionidae
Description: 7SK RNA
Rfam family: 7SK RNA
About the family: 7SK was discovered as an abundant small nuclear RNA in the mid-70s but a possible function has only recently been suggested. Two independent studies have found that 7SK RNA binds the CDK9/cyclin T complex (known as elongation factor P-TEFb).
Source: Rfam by way of RNAcentral